This is a long non-coding RNA of Perognathus longimembris pacificus (Pacific pocket mouse), 2687 nucleotides long. RefSeq lists it as uncharacterized. The transcript has 4 exons. NCBI's taxonomy places the organism in Eukaryota, Metazoa, Chordata, Mammalia, Rodentia, Heteromyidae. The record is from RefSeq and is a predicted model, not a curated record.
GCGCGCGCGCUGCCUUCUGCACAUGCGUGGUCGACGUUGGCAAGGCUGCUCCACGCUGUGGUGCUGCGGGUUGUUGAGGCGGAAAUAGACGGUGGAGAGGAGUGGUUCUAGAAGCGUGAAAGCGUCUGCUGCACUGUUGUCAGCACUCACAGCCAGCUCUGAAAAUAACUGAAGCCCCUGUUGUCAUGGAGCUUCAUUCCAGUACCAAGGACAACUAGGAAGCCUGUGUUUGAGAGAAGACAGAAGAUACUAGACAGAAGGUAUCAGCCCUCUAUAGGGCCACCAACCACAAAGCUCCACCAGUGCAGCCUUUUUGAGCUUUUCCCCAGACUCAGGGUGAGUAAUGAUGUGUGGCUCCUUCAUUCCUCCUGCCACCCCCAUGAGGGGCAGCAAACUGCAUGAGUAUUCCUCACCAUCAUGAACUCAUAGUAAGCUCUGCUGGCUGGGGAACCAAUUAGUCAGCAGGUGGUACCACCCAAAGAUCACCAAAUUCAGCCUCAGGAAAAUACCUGAGAACCUUUCCACCAGCCUGGAGAGAUGAGACACUGGACAGGGAUUUGGGACCCUCUGUGUCCACGGAGUCCAGGAACAUGAGGAAGUAGCAGUUUGGCAGUACACAUGACACCUUGACAUAAAACCUGGAUUUAACUAGUUAUAAGAAGCUUGGGAAAGAGCAGGCAAGACAGCCAGCAGGGGUUAGCAAAAGUUUGAGCUUCGGGAAACAGGCUGUAGUCAGAAAUCCUGAGGCUGAUAAACUCUGCAAGGAGGAAGCUGCAGAGAACUGCAGCUGUGCUGAGGCAAGUGCUGAGUGACCCCAGAAAUGCAGCACAAACAAAAGGACAAGCUCAAAACAGCACAGCCCACAAUGAGAGGCAGCAUUGCUCCUGGCAGCUAAGGAGCCUUGGGACUCUGCUGAGUCAAACUGCAAAGGCACUGGCCAUUAGGUGGAACUUGAAGCCUCAUCCCCGUGUAAGGACUUCCAAGGGAAGCAAAGCAUUCACACCUAAAACAGACUUUUGCUACCUCAAGGAAGACUGUAAGUAAACAUACACAUGCAAAGACAACUAAAACCUCAUUGUUGCUCUGUAUAAGUCUGUUCCUUCAUUGGUUCAACGGUUUUGAGUGUUACUUUUUAGAAGACACCAAGGGCAUGCACAAGACCUCUGGGUCUCCAUCAGAAGUUCAAAUCUACAUACAAGGUGAUAGAUAUAAAAGAAAAACUAAAGGUACUGAAAGCCCAUUCGACAAAAUCAUGGUAGAAAAGUUACCCAAUCCCAAGAGAGUAUCAUCCAGGUGCUACUUAGGCCUUACAGCAUUUCAAGCCGACAAAAGGGGAGACACAUUACAAGUAAAAUCACUACAUGCACAGAAUAUAGAAACAAUACUGAAAGCUACAAAGGAAAGGAGGUAAGUGAUUUACAAUAGCAACCCCCUUAGAAUAAUAACCUAUUUCUUGACAAAAACUAAAUGGAAGAAGAGCAAGGAAAGAGAAUUUAAGCCUUGAAAGACAACAAUUUUCAACCUAGCCUCUAUCCAGAGAACCUAUCCUUCAGCCUUCGUGGGGAUUUAAAAAAACAACACCUUACAUGAUGAAGGUAUUCAUGUCUACUAAGGCAGCUCUGCAAAAUAUACUUAGGGGAAUCCUACUAUCAGAAAAAGAUUUUUUUUAAAAAAAAAAAAACAGUAAACAACCCCUACUAGAAGAGUAGGAUAGCAAAGCAAGUAUCACAACUAAGUGACAGAAAAUAUGGUGUCUCAAUUCUAAAGUUAAUGUCAGUGUCCAGUUAAAACAAGGGGAGGAGAAGUUUGAAUCAAAGUUCCAGGGCACAGUGCAAAGGGUGUGGAUGUGUUUGUGGGCAUGAGUGAACUCAAAGCAGCCAGUCAGAGGGGUGAGAUACCUAGAUGGGCCCGCAAGAGAAAAUACCAGUACAGGGAGCCCAGCAGGGCAAAUCUAGUCUUGUCCAUGAGAUUUGGCUACUAGGAUUUUUACUGGUCUUGACAGGAGUUGCUACAGUGGGCUGAGAAAUAAAUCUGGGAGCAGAGGAAGGGAGAGGGGCAAGAUGAGCCAGAUGUGAUGGCCAUACCUAUUAUCCAGGUGAUCACUCAUGGCUGGGCAGGAGUCUUGAGUUCAAGAUCAAGCCCUGACUAUAUAAGAAAGUGCCUCAUAAAAUAAGAUGGGGGCUUAGGAGCUGCCUGGCAUGCUUGGCAGUGCUGGGUUCAAUCUGUAGGACAGCAGAAGGGCACUUUAGAGUCAGGUGAAGUAAACAGAAUUCUAAGGAUGAGCCAGUGACUCACUCUCGUGUCAUUCUUCUGCUUGUUUGUGGGUGGAGCCUAUAAACACCAUGCCUUGUAAGGACAGAAGCUGUCCCAUGAGCCAAAUCUCAUCACACAUGAGGUAGAUGUGCAUACCCUUACACCCACAGGGUGUGUUACAAUUGUGUCUCUAGCUGGCAGACUCAGCAUUAGGCUUCAAGGUGUGCUUCCUGUUUGGAAAUAGGGGAAUGGGGUCCACAUGACAGAGAAGAAAUGGCCUACAGAGCAGAGCGUAGGCAGUGCCUAACAGGCAGUGGGGAAAGGAGCCUUAGACCAGCCCCAAGUGGCUGGAUUCUUGUAAAACCUGAAAUAUCUCGGCAGUGGUUUUUGCCCAAAGCCGCCAGCUAGGACCCCAGCCCAGCCAUCAGUCAGUC